This 253-nucleotide ribosomal RNA is filed under the name uncultured bacterium. Its description in RNAcentral is "partial 16S ribosomal RNA". It matches the Rfam family "Bacterial small subunit ribosomal RNA", at positions 524 to 776 of the family's 1533-position model. The record is from RNAcentral.
UACGUAGGGCGCAAGCGUUAAUCGGAAUUACUGGGCGUAAAGCGUGCGCAGGCGGUUUUGUAAGUCUGACGUGAAAUCCCCGGGCUCAACCUGGGAAUUGCGUUGGAGACUGGAAGGCUGGAGUCUGGCAGAGGGGGGUAGAAUUCCACGUGUAGCAGUGAAAUGCGUAGAGAUGUGGAGGAACACCGAUGGCGAAGGCAGCCCCCUGGGCCAAGACUGACGCUCAUGCACGAAAGCGUGGGGAGCAAACAGG